Molecule: unclassified non-coding RNA, 330 nt
Filed under: soil metagenome
Description: partial contains 5.8S ribosomal RNA, internal transcribed spacer 2, and large subunit ribosomal RNA
Rfam family: 5.8S ribosomal RNA (bases 1-121)
Source: RNAcentral
GAUGAAGAACGUAGCGAAAGUGCGAAACGUAAUGUGAAUUGCAGAAUUCAGUGAAUCAUCGAAUCUUUGAACGCACAUUGCGCCCCUUGGUAUUCCGAGGGGCAUGCCUGUUCGAGCGUCAUUAUAACCCCUCAAGCUCAGCUUGGUGUUGGGGCCUGCUGCACUGGCAGCCCUUAAAAUCAGUGGCGGCGCCAUCUGGCUCUAAGCGUAGUAAUUCUUCUCGCUAUGGAGUCCUGGUGGAUGCUUGCCAUCAACCCCCAAUUUUUCUAUGGUUGACCUCGGAUCAGGUAGGGAUACCCGCUGAACUUAAGCAUAUCAAUAAGCGGAGGA